UUCGGCAAUGGACGAAAGUCUGACCGAGCAACGCCGCGUGAGUGAAGAAGGUUUUCGGAUCGUAAAGCUCUGUUGUAAGUCAAGAACGUGUGUGAGAGUGGAAAGUUCACACAGUGACGGUAGCUUACCAGAAAGGGACGGCUAACUACGUGCCAGCAGCCGCGGUAAUACGUAGGGUCCCGAGCGUUGUCCGGAUUUAUUGGGCGUAAAGGGAGCGCAGGCGGUCAGGAAAGUCUGGAGUAAAAGGCUAUGGCUCAACCAUAGUGUGCUCUGGAAACUGUCUGACUUGAGUGCAGAAGGGGAGAGUGGAAUUCCAUGUGUAGCGGUGAAAUGCGUAGAUAUAUGGAGGAACACCAGUGGCGAAAGCGGCUCUCUGGUCUGUCACUGACGCUGAGGCUCGAAAGCGUGGGUAGCGAACAGGAUUAGAUACCCUGGUAGUCCACGCCGUAAACGAUGAGUGCUAGGUGUAAGGCCCUUUCCGGGGCUUAGUGCCGGAGCUAACGCAAUAAGCACUCCGCCUGGGGAGUACGACCGCAAGGUUGAAACUCAAAGGAAUUGACGGGGGCCCGCACAAGCGGUGGAGCAUGUGGUUUAAUUCGA
This 600-nucleotide ribosomal RNA is filed under the name Streptococcus mutans. RNAcentral's name for it is "bacterial SSU rRNA". It matches the Rfam family "Bacterial small subunit ribosomal RNA", at positions 364 to 954 of the family's 1533-position model. The record is from RNAcentral. Lineage: Bacteria; Bacillati; Bacillota; Bacilli; Lactobacillales; Streptococcaceae.